Molecule: unclassified non-coding RNA, 347 nt
Filed under: uncultured fungus
Lineage: Eukaryota; Fungi
Description: partial contains small subunit ribosomal RNA, internal transcribed spacer 1, and 5.8S ribosomal RNA
Rfam family: Eukaryotic small subunit ribosomal RNA (bases 1-73)
Source: RNAcentral
GCAAACUUGGUCAUUUAGAGGAAGUAAAAGUCGUAACAAGGUUUCCGUAGGUGAACCUGCGGAAGGAUCAUUAUUGAAUGUAUUUACAAGUGGUUGUAGCUGGCUUUUCGGAGCAUGUGCACGCCAUUUGUUUCUACUAUCUUUCCACCUGUGAACUUUUGUAGAUCAUGAAUGAAACUCGUCUGAAAAUGGCGGUCUGAGGGACUUGUUCCUUGUAGUUCGUGAUCUAUGUUAUAUCAAACUCUAUAAUUGUUUUUGAAUGUCUGUUUAAAUGGUCUAUGACCUUUAAAUACUAUACAACUUUCAGCAACGGAUCUCUUGGCUCUCGCAUCGAUGAAGAACGCAGC